RNAcentral lists this small RNA (332 nucleotides) under Arabidopsis thaliana (thale cress). RNAcentral's name for it is "ATSL018560". The record is from RNAcentral. Lineage: Eukaryota; Viridiplantae; Streptophyta; Magnoliopsida; Brassicales; Brassicaceae.
UUAAGUCUGGUUAUAAUUAGGUUUAGUUUGGUUUAUCAAUCGGUAAGGUAUAGAGUAAACCGACUAAACCCAGUUCCGUGGGAUUAUGGAUCUCGAACUAUUUAUUCGGGGACAUAUAGCUAUGGAACUUUCCUUUCUGGGAGAAAUAGGAGUAUAACUACCAAUUCAUGGAUAUAUAGACCGAGGUCAAAGUUUGGGCUAUAUCUAGCAUGAUGCGAUACUUCUAGUGGGGAAAUAUACCGUUUUUCCGCUUUCUGCGUUCCAGUUUUCUCAUAGUCUAGGAUUCGAUUAUCAAACAGAAAGGCUAAAUGCUUUUUGUGGACUGUGGACAC